UGGCACGAUGAUCUCUGCGGCCG
RNAcentral lists this non-coding RNA (23 nucleotides) under Mus musculus (house mouse). The record is from RNAcentral. Lineage: Eukaryota; Metazoa; Chordata; Mammalia; Rodentia; Muridae.